AACGAACGCUGGCGGCAGGCCUAACACAUGCAAGUCGAGCGCGCCCUUCGGGGUGAGCGGCGGACGGGUGAGUAACGCGUGGGAACGUGCCCUUUUCUACGGAAUAGCCUCGGGAAACUGAGAGUAAUACCGUAUACGCCCUUUGGGGGAAAGAUUUAUCGGAAAAGGAUCGGCCCGCGUUGGAUUAGGUAGUUGGUGGGGUAAUGGCCUACCAAGCCGACGAUCCAUAGCUGGUUUGAGAGGAUGAUCAGCCACACUGGGACUGAGACACGGCCCAGACCCCCACGGGAGGAAGCAGUGGGGAAUUUUAGAAAAGGGGGGCAACCCUGAUCUAGCCAUGCCGGGGGAGGGAUGAAGGCCUUAGGGUUGUAAAGCUCUUUCAGCGGGGAAGAUAAGGGCGGUACCAGCAAAAGAAACCCCGGCUAACUCCGU
This 432-nucleotide ribosomal RNA is filed under the name uncultured bacterium. Its description in RNAcentral is "partial 16S ribosomal RNA". It matches the Rfam family "Bacterial small subunit ribosomal RNA", at positions 29 to 506 of the family's 1533-position model. The record is from RNAcentral.